RNAcentral lists this ribosomal RNA (1415 nucleotides) under uncultured Bordetella sp. Its description in RNAcentral is "partial 16S-23S ribosomal RNA intergenic spacer". It matches the Rfam family "Bacterial small subunit ribosomal RNA". The record is from RNAcentral. Lineage: Bacteria; Pseudomonadati; Pseudomonadota; Betaproteobacteria; Burkholderiales; Alcaligenaceae.
CGAACGGCGGCACGGACUUCGGUCUGGUGGCGAGUGGCGAACGGGUGAUGUCAUAUCGAACCGUGCCUAGUGGCGGGGAUAACUACGCGAAAGCGUAGUAAUGCCGCAUACGCCCUUCGGGAAAGCAGGGGACCUUCGGGCCUCGCACUAUUAAACAGCCGAUAUCGGAUUAGCUAGUUGGUGGGGUAACGGCUCACCAAGGCGACGAUCCGUAGUAUAGUUUGAGAGGACGACCAACCGCACUGGGACUGAGACACGGCCCAGACUCUGGGAGAGCAGCAGUGGGGAAUUUUGGACAAUGGGGAAGCCUGAUCCGCUGCUCCCGCGUGUGCGAUGAAGGCCUUCGGGUUGUAAAGCACUUUUGGCAGGAAAGAAACGGCACGGGAUAAUACCCCGUGCAACGGGCAAUGCCUGCAGAAUAAGCACCGGCUAACUACGUGCCGCCUGUCCCGCGGUAAUACGUAGGGUGCAAGCAUUCAAUCAGGUACUGGGCGUAAAAGCGCGCGGGCGGUUCGGAAGAAAGAUGUGAGAAAUCCCAGAGCUUAACUUUGGAACUGCAUUUUUAACUACCGAGCUAGAGUGUGUCAGAGGGAGGUGGAAUUCCGCGUGUAGCAGUGAAAUGCGUAGAUAUUGUGGAGGAACACCGAUAGCGAAGGCAGCCUCCUGGGAUAACACUGACGCUCAUGCGAAAAGCGUGGGGAGCAAACAGGAUUAGAUACCCUGGUAGUCCACGCCCUAAACGAUGUCAACUAGCUGUUGGGGCCUUCGGGCCUUGGUAGCGCAACUAACGCGUGAAGUUGACCGCCUGGGAGUACGGUCGCAAGAUUAAAACUCAAAGGAAUUGACGAGGGACCCGCACAAGCGGUGGAUGAUGUGGAUUAAUUCGAUGCAACGCGAAAAACCUUACCUACCCUUGACAUGUCUGGAAUCCGAAAGAGAUUUAGGAGUGCGCUCACAAAGAAAACGGAACACAGGUGCUGCAUGGCUGUCGUCAGCUCGUGUCGUGAGAUGUUGGGUUAAGUCCCGCAACGAGCGCAACCCUUGUCAUUAGUUGGUUCACUACGAAAGGGCACUCUAAUGAGACUGCCGGUGACAAACCGGAGGAAGGUGGGGAUGACGUCAAGUCCUCAUGGCCCUUAUGGGUAGGGCUUCCCAUCAUACAAUGGUCGGACGAAGGGUGUAACCCGCGAGGGGUGUCGAAACCCGAUCGUAGUCCGGAUCGCAGUCUGCUCGACUGCGUGAAGUCGGAAUCCUCGUCAUCGCGGAUCAGCAUGUCGCCCGGUGAAUACGUUCAGGUGCUUGUACACACCGCCCGUCACACCAUGGGAGUGGGUUUACCGAAGUAGUUAGCCUAACCGUAAGGAGGCGAUUACCACGGUAGGAUUCAUGACUGGGGUGAAGUCGUAACAAGGUAA